UCCCCAGUGGUGCAAUUGGUUAGCGCGCUAUACUUAUAGACAGUACCCAGCGACCGUUUGGCUACGCUGUAGACAUGCGGAGGUUGUGAGUUCAAGUCUCACCUGGGGAA
This is a non-coding RNA of Strongylocentrotus purpuratus (purple sea urchin), 110 nucleotides long. The record is from Rfam. NCBI's taxonomy places the organism in Eukaryota, Metazoa, Echinodermata, Echinoidea, Camarodonta, Strongylocentrotidae.